AAACUCUCAAAACAUCCUCCAAACCGUAGCUGAAAGCAAAGAAGGACAAGGUGCUCCGAAUUAAUCCAUCCACAAACUCACUCGCGGGAUUUCAAGUAGGAAAGCUUGCAACCACCGUUGAUGAUGAUGAUGCUAUGAAAAGAAGUAGCGUUGAUGCCUAGAUACACAUUUAGACGUUUAGGUUUAAUAUGUUGUAUCAAUUUUGCUCGUGUUGUCAUGUACUUCUUUUGAACUUGUUGUAUUUGAA
Long non-coding RNA from Helianthus annuus (common sunflower), 247 nucleotides. RefSeq lists it as uncharacterized. The transcript has 3 exons. NCBI's taxonomy places the organism in Eukaryota, Viridiplantae, Streptophyta, Magnoliopsida, Asterales, Asteraceae. The record is from RefSeq and is a predicted model, not a curated record.